This is a long non-coding RNA of Micropterus dolomieu (smallmouth bass), 2525 nucleotides long. RefSeq lists it as uncharacterized. NCBI's taxonomy places the organism in Eukaryota, Metazoa, Chordata, Actinopteri, Centrarchiformes, Centrarchidae. The record is from RefSeq and is a predicted model, not a curated record. The transcript has 5 exons.
AUAAGCAUAGCAUUAGUGAUUUUUUAAAUUUAGUAUACUAUGGAAAAUCAGAUGAGACUAAAAGGCUAUGACCUCUGACUCCUGCUGGGUCAGUCAGGCUUGUUUGACAUGUGAAGAUCAUAUUUGUCUGGACUUGUAAAAAGACAACAGAAGAGCCUCAAAGACGAGAGGAAGCAAGAAGAUAAAGCAGGUCCAUCAGCCUCCAACUCUACCUCCAUCAUUGCUAUCAUCCAAGAAGCUGACAAUGCUGGUCUACCUGUGCCUACUGAAGUGGAGAGCAGUACUAUCGUGCUUACUACCACACCUGGCUCUCCAGUUUGUACUCCUCCAGUAGAUCCAGCUGACUGGCCGUCAGUCCUUGAUGACCAGUUACACGUUGAUGUGAAUCCAAAGUGGCUGUGCAGAAAAGAGGAAACAGUCAGUUCAGAACCUCUGACUUCAUGUGCCACCCCCCUCCCCACUUCUGAAACCGAACCUACAGCCUUGAUCUAAGCUGAAGGAUAUCCUGAUGUGUACACUGUAGUUCUCUUUUUCUGUCUUUACACUGGCACAUCACAAAAUGCUUAUCUUGUAAACAAUACAUUUGUUGUAGUGAUUGCAUCGUUAUAUGUGAGGAACAUAUAUAACAAGAAGGCUUUUAUAUCCACCACUGAUUAAUUAGGCUUUUUAUGACAGAUACAAUAAGAUGACAGAGAAUCAAUAGUGUUUAUAUGAAUUGUAAAACUUGAAAACUUGAUGACAGUGAAACCUGGACUGCCAUGGUGUGAUGACACCAUCAUCUGGUCCUCCAAUUAGCACAAGCUUCUUGAUGCGCAGGAAGUUUCCCCUCCAUGCUGAGGAGGUGAAAUGGAGAAUUUUGUUUUGUUUAACAAUGCACAUUUUUACUGUACAUCCACAAGUACAUAAUGACCAGGAUAGUUAAUGAUUCCAUUACCUUUCAUGUUGCUGUGAGGUUUUUCACCAUUAAGGACCGGCAGAAAGCUGUUGCUCUGCAGGUAGCGGGACCUGUGGUGAGGGUCUACGGAGAAAAGAUAAAUAAAUAUUUGUUUUUGUAUGUUUUCAAGUGGAAUUGUAAUUUCAUGUUUGCUGCCUUUCAAAUUUUUGUCGCAAAUCAUUCUCACCGUUCCAGUAGUCGCAAAUAGAUACUUUCUGUCCCAGCUUGCUGUAGCAAAUACAAAACAGUGUCUUCUUCAUGGAGUCUGGAAAUAUAUGCCUCAGGUACUCUGUGUCUGUAGAGUAAGACAGUGAGAAAUCCAGACUUUUGCAAUGUAGGAUCUCAAAUCAAUGCUGUUUGUUGCUGUAUAUUAAAGGUUCUGGUGAAUUAACUGAGAGUUGUAAAAAAAUCCUCAUUCCCUGAAUGGCAAGGGAUAUUUAGACACGCUUAAAACAUCUGACCUCCAUACUGCCCAGCCAGUGGUGAAGACAGCGAAAUGAAGGUGUGCACUUUGUGGUCUGGAGUCGUGGAGAGAAGUGCUCGACAAAUUAGACCACCUUAGAAAAAAGGAAGAGGACAACGAUGUCAAAACACAAGAGUUCUGACAAACCAAUACGUAGUAUGUGAUCUGCUGCGUUAUUAGCAGAUACAGGCCUAAUAUUGUAUGUAUGCUAAGAGUGGAGAAGAAAUGACAGUGGUUACCAAGUGGGUGACUCCCUCUGAAUGUAUAGCAUCAAAUUAGACAUGUUCUAACAAGACUGUUUGUUUCCCUGCCAAUAUUACAGCUAUGCUAGCAGCUGUGAGACUGUACCUAUGACAGCAAUGCUUUUUAGAUAAAUGCUAACAUUAACAUGCUAAAAGUCUUGUUUACCGGAUAUGACAUUUACCCUGUUCACUUUCUGAGGUUUGCGUGUUAGGAUGCAAAGCUUUGCUAAUUAGCAUUAAAAGCAGCGGAGGUUGAUGGGAAUGUCAUUAGUUUUGCAGGUAUUUGGUCAUAAAUCAAAGGACAAACUGAUUUUGUGAUCUAAUGAUGGUUAGAGGAAAUGCAUCACUAAAGUGAUUACAGUUCAUCCUGAGGGGUACACCUAAUUUCAUUUCAAUCCAAUAAUUUGCAAUCUUCAUUCCAACUGUUGUUCAGACAUUUCACCGGAAGCCACAACCUCAGGCGGCAUCAGAGGAAAAGUUGGAGAUCACCAAAGUCAUUAUCUGACAACCAUGAAUAUCUGUAAUACAUUUUGAGCCAAUAUAUCUAGUAGAUGUUGAGCUAUUUCACAGGAUUAGUGGAAAAUGUCAGUAGGAUUUAUGUUCUAGGGACUAUGAAUGGCUAUAAAAAAUGCAAUGGCAAUCCAUCCAAUAAUUGUUGAGAUAUUUCCACAUGGACCAAAGUGGUGGAUUGACAAAGCAGCCUACAAUGGGAUCCAUAUUGCCAUGUCACUAGCAUGGCUAGUAAACACAUCAUCAUUGUCGGUUGAGAGUCUCAUGUAUUUCAUACAUUGAAAAAUGUUUUUUUCAAAAUGUCUGCUAUGAAAAAGACUUACUGGAGGAGAGUAUUUGAAUUAAUAAACAUACAUGAAGAUCUAUUUUUGCUGAU